Small nucleolar RNA from Papaver somniferum (opium poppy), 76 nucleotides. RefSeq annotates it as small nucleolar RNA Z155. NCBI's taxonomy places the organism in Eukaryota, Viridiplantae, Streptophyta, Magnoliopsida, Ranunculales, Papaveraceae. The transcript has a single exon. The record is from RefSeq and is a predicted model, not a curated record.
CGUUGAGGUGACGAGAAUUUAAUCGGAAUCAUAAUAUGUCGAUUCAACAAAUCAGACUACAAUUAUCUGAUCAACG